Long non-coding RNA from Patella vulgata (common limpet), 451 nucleotides. RefSeq lists it as uncharacterized. The transcript is spliced from 3 exons. NCBI's taxonomy places the organism in Eukaryota, Metazoa, Mollusca, Gastropoda, Patellidae. The record is from RefSeq and is a predicted model, not a curated record.
UAUAUUUUAUGAUGUGGCCGAUAGUAAGAUGGUCGCUGAUAAUAAGUUACUAUGUGCUAAAGAAUGCAUGGAGGUAAAGUUAUGCUGUGCGGCCUUUGCCUAUCAUGAAAACAGAAAAACUUGUUAUUUUUAUAAUUUUAAACUACAGCCAGAUUACGUCAAUAUAGCAGAUCCUGGUCUAGUGACAUUUGUUGAUGUCGAAGAGGAUAGAGAGAAACAGUACAAUGUGACUAUACGAACAGGUGAAAAGUAUAGAGCUGGUACAGAUGCUAAGGUUAGGAUUCAGCUGUUUGGAACUAAGAGCACCACCAGUCAACAUUUGUUAGACAAACCUGGUUACAGAGAUUUUCAAAAAUCUGCCAAGGAUACGUAUAAGGUAAAUGAUGUGGAUGUCGGAAACAUAACCGCUGUUAAAGUGAGUCACGAUAAUUCAAAACAUAAUCCAGGCUGG